Molecule: ribosomal RNA, 1396 nt
Filed under: uncultured archaeon
Lineage: Archaea
Description: bacterial SSU rRNA
Rfam family: Archaeal small subunit ribosomal RNA
Source: RNAcentral
ACCAAACUGCUAUUGGGAUUCGACUAAGCCAUGCAAGUCUUCCGCAAGGAGGCAAAAGGCUGAGUAACACGUAGGCAACCUGCCUUCAGGAGGGAAAUAACCUCGGGAAACUGAGGAUAAUGUCCCAUAGGCUUAGGAUAUUGGAAUAUUCCUAAGUUGAAAGCUUCGGCGCCUGAAGAUGGGCCUGCGACUUAUCAGGUUGUUGGUAGUGUAAUGGACUACCAAGCCUUUGACGAGUAGGGGCAGUGAAAGCUGGAGCCCCCAGACGAGUACUGAGACACGGACUCGAGCCCUACGGGGUGCAGCAGGCGCGAAACCUCCGCAAUGCACGCAAGUGUGACGGGGGGAUCCCAAGUGUUCUUCCCUUAAAGAAGAACUUUUCUCACGUGUAAAUAGCUUGAGGAAUAAGGGCUGGGUAAGACGGGUGCCAGCCGCCGCGGUAAUACCCGCAGCUCAAGUGGUUUGGAGUUUUAUUGGGUCUAAAGCGUUCGUAGCUGGGUCUGUAAGUUCUCUGUGAAAUCUGGCAGCUUAACUGUCAGGCGUGCAGAGGAUACUGCUGACCUUGGGACCGGAGUGGGCCAAAGGUACUCCUGGGGUAGGGGUGAAAUCCAAUAAUCCCGGGGGGACCANCUGUGGUUAAGACGUUUGGCUAAGACGGGUCCGACAGUGAGGGACGAAAGCUAGGGGAGCGAACGGGAUUAGAUACCCCGGUAGUCCUAGCCGUAAAUGAUGCAAACUAGGUGUUGCAGCCUUUUCGUGAGGUUGCAGUGCCGAAGNGAAGCCGUUAAGUUUGCCACCUGGGAAGUACGGUCGCAAGGCUGAAACUUAAAGGAAUUGACGGGGGAGCACCACAAGGGGUGGAGUCUGCGGUUUAAUUGGAUUCAACGCCGGAAAUCUCACCGGGGGCGACAGCACAAUGAAGGUCAGGUUGACGAUCUUACUAAAGUCGCUGAGAGGUGGUGCAUGGCCGUCGUCAGUUCGUGCCGUGAGGUGUUCGGUUAAGUCCGACAACGAACGAGACCCACGCUCCCAGUUGCUAAUCUUUUCUCCGGAAAAGGUGCACUCUGGCGGGACCGCUGCUGAUGAAGCAGAGGAAGGAGUGGGCAACGGUAGGUCAGUAUGCCCCGAAUCCCCCGGGCUACACGCGGACUACAAUGACUGGAACAAUGAGCUGCAACGCCGUGAGGCGAAGCCAAUCUCUAAAUCCAGCCUUAGUUCCGAUCGAGCGCUGUAACUCGCGCUCGUGAAGCCGGAAUCCCUAGUAAUCGGAUGUCACUAUCGUCCGGUGAAUAUGUCCCUGCUCCUUGUACACACCGCCCGUCAAAUCACCUGAGUUGGGUUUGGAUGAGGCUUUAUUUUAUUGGUAAAGUCGAAUCUGGGCUCAGCAAGGGGGGUU